AUUCUGAUUCUGAAUUCUGAAUUCUGAUUCUGAUUCUGAUGGGGAUACAUGUAUACAUUAAUGCUAACUAAUGCUAACUAAUGCUAGCUAAUGCUAGCUAAUGCUAACUGAGCUAACGAUGCUAACAGCUGUGUUAAUUGUUUUCUAGACACCAAUGGACGCACUUUGUUUUUGAUUUACCGUGAUUAAUCAGCUCAUUAACGCUACUGUUCUACGGGACUACUUAUUUAAUGCCAUUCAGACCAUGCCUUGUGUGAGAUGAAAAGCAGACUGGGCCCUCCAGUGGAUAAAUGACAGCGAAUCCACAUUUGGUGCACAUGUCUGCUGGAAGAGAGCAGCUCAACAGGUCAAAUGUAACAGAUGUGUAACAGAACGUCAUCUCCCGUCAGCGUCAGAAGUCUGCAUCCAGUGUGAAUUCAUCGUCCGUCAUGCUUGACAUGACUCCAAAUUUCUGAUACUCCGCUACUCGCUUC
Long non-coding RNA from Sebastes umbrosus (honeycomb rockfish), 473 nucleotides. RefSeq lists it as uncharacterized. The transcript has 3 exons. NCBI's taxonomy places the organism in Eukaryota, Metazoa, Chordata, Actinopteri, Perciformes, Sebastidae. The record is from RefSeq and is a predicted model, not a curated record.